Molecule: long non-coding RNA, 293 nt
Filed under: Homo sapiens (human)
Lineage: Eukaryota; Metazoa; Chordata; Mammalia; Primates; Hominidae
Description: HSALNT0159465
Source: RNAcentral
CUGGAACCACGUGGAGAAGACUGUGAGGUGAAAACAUGCUACUCUCUGUCACAUACUGCCAGGUAGAUGCUUGCUGCUGGCAGAAGGCAUAGAAUAUUUUGUAAACUACCCUCUACGGCAGACACAUGCAGGCCAACCCAGAACCACCGAAGAAGAAUAAUGACAAAUCGAAAAAGAUCAGCCGGAAACCCCUGGCAGCCAAGAACAGAUAAGGAAGGGAUUGGCAUCGGCUGGCCUUCCAGCACCUUCUCUCUCCAACACUUCAUUCUCUCUUGCCCUGUCUCUCAAAUAAA